Molecule: ribosomal RNA, 648 nt
Filed under: uncultured Desulfobacterales bacterium
Lineage: Bacteria; Pseudomonadati; Thermodesulfobacteriota; Desulfobacteria; Desulfobacterales
Description: bacterial SSU rRNA
Rfam family: Bacterial small subunit ribosomal RNA
Source: RNAcentral
AAGUGGCGCACGGGUGAGUAACGCGUGGGUAAUCUACCCUCGAAUUGGGGAUAACAUCGCGAAAGUGAUGCUAAUACCGAAUGACAUUUUGAAAACAUAUGUUUUCAAGAUCAAAGGUGGCCUCUACAUGUAAGCUAUUGUUUGGGGAUGAGCCCGCGUACCAUUAGCUUGUUGGUAGGGUAAUGGCCUACCAAGGCUACGAUGGUUAGCUGGUCUGAGAGGAUGAUCAGCCACACUGGAACUGACACACGGUCCAGACUCCUACGGGAGGCAGCAGUGAGGAAUUUUGCGCAAUGGGGGAAACCCUGACGCAGCAACGCCGCGUGAGUGAUGAAGGCUUUCGGGUCGUAAAGCUCUGUCAAGUGGGAAGAAUCCAUAUGGUGUUAAUACCGCCAUAUGCUGACGGUACCACUGAAGGAAGCACCGGCUAACUCCGUGCCAGCAGCCGCGGUAAUACGGGGGGUGCGAGCGUUAUUCGGAAUUACUGGGCGUAAAGAGCGCGUAGGCGGUCUUUUAAGUCAGGUGUGAAAGCCCGGGGCUCAACCCCGGAAGUGCACUUGAAACUAAGAGACUUGAGUAUGGGAGAGGGAAGUGGAAAUUCCCGGUGUAGCGGUGAAAUGCGUAGAUAUCAGAGGAACAUCAGUGGCG